This 886-nucleotide long non-coding RNA is filed under the name Monodelphis domestica (gray short-tailed opossum). RNAcentral's name for it is "lncRNA (ENSMODG00000033429.2)". The record is from RNAcentral. Lineage: Eukaryota; Metazoa; Chordata; Mammalia; Didelphimorphia; Didelphidae.
GAAUGUCCCCAGCUUCCUCCUGCAGGGGACUGGAAAAUCACCAGGGAGCACUCUUGACCUGGACCAAGGAAUGGGAUUAAAAGGCUACAAUUUGUCUCACUUCAACAAAGAUCCCUCUUCAGCCCAGGGAAUUGCCAAGGAAAACAAGAGGGAGAAUUCAGCAUUAAAGGGCUACCAUGGAAGAAUGGAUAAAGUACUAUAUAUGAAGUAAGGAAGACCUGGGGUUGAAUCCUGCUUCAGACUCUUUAUAGCUGUAUGACUAUGAGAGAAACUGAGGUUUUUCCAAUAAAGCAGAGAAACUUUCUACUUCCUCAUCCAGCCUUCCUCAGACUUUCCUCCAUCCAUAUAAAAGAAAGGAGUCCAGGAGGCUUGACCAUGUGCCCAGCAUCCAGGGACCCCAGCUGGUACUGCUUACUCCCCCUGACCCGUGAACUGAGUAGUCUGCGCCCUAGUAGUUCUACAAGCCAAGCUCUGGCUAAUUCUUCUCCACCUACAAGGCAGAUUGUGCCCCUUUCUGGGCUUCCUUUUCACCCUGGAUCUCAUGACUGGCAACUGAUUCAGACUGAUUAUGGUUCUGCCUAUAAGAAGCCAUCUGAAAUGCUCCCACUCCCUAGUUGACCCCAACCGACUGCCAGCUCCCCCCUUGGUGAUGAGGAUGCUGGGGAGAACAGUUUCUGCCACAGCCAAAUUUUACAACGCUGGAGAGCCACAGACCAUGAAGAUCCCCUGUUUGUCAGGGGCUGCGUCUGGUAACUGGGAAAUGAUCUGAGUAAUAAUUGUGGGAUCCAAUUAUCCUCCCUAGCCUGAUCGGGCAUGAACUGGAAAUUCCCUAUAAUAUUGUCUAAUUAAAUUAUUCCUCACCUCCUCCCCCUUUUAUAGACGCCUU